CACGUAGGGGGCGAGCGUUGUCCGGAUUUAUUGGGCGUAAAGAGCUCGUAGGCGGCUCAGUAAGUCGGGUGUGAAAUUUCAGGGCUCAACCCUGAAACGCCACCCGAUACUGCUGUGGCUAGAGUCCGGUAGGGGAGCGUGGAAUUCCUGGUGUAGCGGUGAAAUGCGCAGAUAUCAGGAGGAGCACCAGCGGCGAAGGCGGCGCUCUGGGCCGGAACUGACGCUGAGGAGCGAAAGCAUGGGUAGCGAACAGG
Molecule: ribosomal RNA, 254 nt
Filed under: uncultured bacterium
Lineage: Bacteria
Description: partial 16S ribosomal RNA
Rfam family: Bacterial small subunit ribosomal RNA
Source: RNAcentral